AGAGUUUUAGCUUAAAUAAAAGUGUCUGUAUUGCAGGCAGAAGAUGUAAUAGUUGCAGACUCU
RNAcentral lists this transfer RNA (63 nucleotides) under Gerrhopilus ceylonicus (Jan's worm snake). RNAcentral's name for it is "transfer RNA-Ala". The record is from RNAcentral. Lineage: Eukaryota; Metazoa; Chordata; Lepidosauria; Squamata; Gerrhopilidae.